RNAcentral lists this small RNA (146 nucleotides) under Rhizobium sp. BK377. Its description in RNAcentral is "sRNA ar7". It matches the Rfam family "Alphaproteobacterial sRNA ar7". The record is from RNAcentral. RNAcentral also lists the same sequence under 1 other name. Lineage: Bacteria; Pseudomonadati; Pseudomonadota; Alphaproteobacteria; Hyphomicrobiales; Rhizobiaceae.
UACCGGCGUUUGAUCGCGCCGCGGGUCUGAUAGCCGGCUUGUCCCCCGCCGCGUCAGGCUUGGACAAAGGCCUCAUCCCCCUCUCCGGGCCUUUGUCCCCAUUUUAAAAGCCGCCAUGGCCAUCCUCCAGGCCGUGGCGGCUUUGU